Molecule: long non-coding RNA, 2041 nt
Organism: Ostrea edulis (European flat oyster)
Lineage: Eukaryota; Metazoa; Mollusca; Bivalvia; Ostreida; Ostreidae
Exons: 2
Source: RefSeq, a predicted model, not a curated record
GCUUUCCUCUCUGUAAUCGUGUGAUGGGCCGAGAUUGACUUUCUGAUAGAGCGUAGUCAGAAGUUUUACAGAUAUGUGUGUCUGUGGAUCGUAAUGACAAUCAACAGGAACUGUUACAAUAAUGGACCAACCGCUAACAAUGCAUGGACUAUCACACAGCGGCGACAUUGUAACGAAGUGAUCAAUGUUUGAAGAUUCUACUACGAUUGAUCGUUUUCACGGCUAAACAAAGUUGUAGACAAGGUUUUAAUGAUUAUUGAGAGGUUGAUUUGUGUAUAAAUAAAACAUAAGUUACAUUCUUAAUCGCGCUGCUAAAUGUUUGUCGGUUGUAUUUCGCCUCUUCUCGUGGUAAUGGAUCGACGCUAUAAUAACGUUCGCUGUUUGUGGCUCGAGACAUUUGAUGGUAUCGAGGCUCGACAUCGGAUACUCUAGAUCAGGGUGUACAUAGCGAAGGCUCUCCAGGUCACCUAAAAAUUCCCGCAUUCUUAACAGUGGUCUACAGUGGAAGUUGUUGAAAUCGAGGACUUUGACGCAGAGGAUCAGGACCAGACGAGACCAAGUGCGAGGACGUACGUCAUAUCCCGGGGUCUCGGAUAUAUCUAGUAGAAACAGUUUCAUAUUGAUUUUUAUUGUUACAUGUAUGUAUCAGUGGUGUUUGAUGACAGUGAAUUUACUUCAGGAAGAUUAAUUAUGUAAAGGUGUUAAUCCUGUCGCAUGGAAUCAAAUGGGCCGCUGAGUGAGAAUUUCGAUGCUUCGAAGUUCAUUAUUUGCAGAGGUGAUUCAAAACUAAUAUUAUGUUGACAUUGCGAAGAGGUGUAAUUAAGUGAAAGAUCAGGGGACUUUUAACAAACAGUAUACUUAGUGCCAAUGAUCCCUGGUGAAAUCAAACUUGCAGGGAAAUGACAGAUCAGGAGACCGGUGGAUUAUACAUUUUCUAGUUUGCUGGAAACGGCUUGUGCAAUAUGUCUGUUAAUGAAAGCUCAUCACAACCAAUUGAAAGGUUGAUUCAACUUUUGCAUAAUGCCUGUGGCCUUGUCAAUGGCAGUAACAGCAUUCAAAUUACCAUAGAAAAUGGCAACGCCAUUCAUAAUUGCACGAGGACGCCGGACGAAGAGACAGGGGCGGAUCAUGGAGCUGUCAUGUACAUUGUGGCGGUCCUGGUCUUUUACUCAGCCGGAAUUGUGAUAAUGUUAAUAAAAUAUUCCAGAUCAGAACGGAAAAGAAUGGAAGAGGAGGUGGCACUUGAUUUCUUUUUCAAGGGUAUGCCUUUUGGAAAAAGCACAAAGGAACACAAUGUAAACAGCGUAGCGAUAAGGGCAUUCCAUACAAUGACAAUGUCUGCAUACGAACCAAAAAAAAAUCACAUAAUUCCGAAGCCUUUACUAGAGACGGAUGUUUGACACAAGCCUCCUUCACUGUUACCGAUGGAUGCUAAUCACCGACAGAGGGAGUUGUUGACAGAAACAGCCUUCACUGUUUACAAGAGGCAGCUGUGUUUAACCAUUGCAUCGUCAUAGGGAAAUGUUGUUUAGCAAUUACUCUAAUGACAUUGCAACAGAAUUUCCCCAAAUAUAGUGAAAGGAAAUUCAAAAAUCUGUUAACGGGUUUUAAGGGAUACUUGAUAUGAACGAUUUGUGGUGGAAAUAUUAAAAGAGAAAUCGAAUUCAAUAAUUAUGCAAAACGAUUGAUUGAUUGAUCGUAGAUUGUUUAACGUCCCGUAUGGAGACGUCACCAUUGCCGGUGAGAGAAUCACCAGAUUGCAGUUGCUUUAAUUUUGUGCUUUUAAUAUUGAUCUUUUCGUUUAGAUGUUGUGUAUAUAUUUUUAUUCAUAAUUUGGUUUUGAUAUACUAAUCUUAUGAUAAUCAAAGCUUUAAUGUGAUAAUUAUAUGUAUUUGUCAUUGGUACAAAUGUACCCGACAUUCCUUUCAUUUUUGAAUUGAAUUGAAUUUUUAUUCAGAUAAAUGUUUUUCCUACAAUUUCAAAUAGAUUCAUCGUCAUUUGUAUAUUUUUUAAUUGAAUAAUAAAAAUCUAAUAAUUCACA